UACGUAGGGUGCGAGCGUUAAUCGGAAUUACUGGGCGUAAAGCGUGCGCAGGCGGUUUUGUAAGCCAGAUGUGAAAGCCCCGGGCUUAACCUGGGAAUGGCAUUUGGGACUGCAAGGCUGGAGUGUGGCAGAGGAGACUGGAAUUCCUGGUGUAGCAGUGAAAUGCGUAGAUAUCAGGAGGAAUACCGAUGGCGAAGGCAGGUCCCUGGGCUAACACUGACGCUCAUGCACGAAAGCGUGGGGAGCAAACAGG
This 253-nucleotide ribosomal RNA is filed under the name uncultured bacterium. Its description in RNAcentral is "partial 16S ribosomal RNA". It matches the Rfam family "Bacterial small subunit ribosomal RNA", at positions 524 to 776 of the family's 1533-position model. The record is from RNAcentral.